Molecule: ribosomal RNA, 505 nt
Filed under: uncultured bacterium
Lineage: Bacteria
Description: bacterial SSU rRNA
Rfam family: Bacterial small subunit ribosomal RNA
Source: RNAcentral
GACGAACGCUGGCGGCGUGGAUUAGGCAUGCAAGUCGAACGGUAUCAUCCUUUCGGGGGUGAGAGAGUGGCGAACUGGUGAGUAACACGUAGGUUAUCUACCCUCAAGACGGGGACAACCCAGGGAAACUUGGGCUAAUACCGGAUGUGAGCAACUUUUAGUUGUUUGAAAGGUGGCGUAAGCUGUCGCUUGGGGAUGAGCCUGCGUCCUAUUAGUUAGUUGGUGAGGUAACGGCUCACCUAGGCAAUGAUAGGUAGGCGGCCUUAACGGGUGGUCGCCCACACUGGGAUUGAGAUACGGCCCAGACUCCUACGGGAGGCAGCAGUCGAGAAUAGUCUACAAUGGUCGGAAGACUGAUAGUGCGACGCCGCGUGAACGAUGAAUCCCUUCGGGGUGUAAAGUUCUUUUAUAUGUGAGCAGUGCUUCUUAUAUUAACAGUAUGGGGAAGAGAUAUUAGCAUAUGAAUAAGCAACGGCUAACUCCGUGCCAGCAGCCGACGGUAAAA